CCUACGGGAGGCAGCAGUGAGGAAUAUUGCGCAAUGGGCGAAAGCCUGACGCAGCGACGCCGCGUGGGGGAUGAAGGUCUUCGGAUUGUAAACCCCUUUCGGGAGGGAAGAUGGGACGAGCAAUCGUUCGGACGGUACCUCCAGAAGCAGCCACGGCUAACUUCGUGCCAGCAGCCGCGGUAAU
Molecule: ribosomal RNA, 184 nt
Filed under: uncultured bacterium
Lineage: Bacteria
Description: partial 16S ribosomal RNA
Rfam family: Bacterial small subunit ribosomal RNA
Source: RNAcentral